Molecule: long non-coding RNA, 764 nt
Organism: Phacochoerus africanus (Common warthog)
Lineage: Eukaryota; Metazoa; Chordata; Mammalia; Artiodactyla; Suidae
Exons: 2
Source: RefSeq, a predicted model, not a curated record
CCCGGGCGAACUCAGGGGCCAAGGCCGGCCGGGCUCUACGCUCUCCCAAAGGACAGCAGCACUGAGGACUUGUUCUGACGGGGACAUGUGUGACCUCGGCUUUCAGCACCAAGGAGAUGGGGACAGAUCGGGCUGCAGAGAGAGCUGCCUCUGUGAAUCCCGGAAGAAAGGGCAGGGAGAACAAAGUUUACACUGAAAAUCUGGACUUUCCAAGCAGCAUGUUGAGACAGACCCACAGCAGACAGAUUCCAUGGAAUAGCCUGAUGUUUCCCAGAAGGCUGGGGACCCCCACUGCCCACCCCCAGCAGUGCCCCAGGCUGACAAGGGAGUUGAAGUCGGAAAGUCAGCUGCCUCUCCAGUGCCUGAGAAAGCGGCCUCUGUGCUCCUGCUGGAUUUUACAGCAGGGCCAAGGGCCUCACUUCCCUCCUUUGCAAAGGAAAAUAGCCAUUCUGGUAUCAACUUUGCUGAUGAGGAUUUAUCUCCGAAGCCAAAAGGAAAAAAAGUCACCUCUCGAGUCCUAAUUAGAAUGAUUCCUCUACUUAAUUUAUUCAGGAUAGCCUCCUGAAUUGGCCUGGUGUGUCCUUGAGUAUUGUUACUAUUACUGCUGCUGCUGCUGUUGUUGUUUUAAAGAAGCCAUUUCUGACCAGAGGCUGGGGAGAUGCCUUUUGUUCGCCUCUGGGCCCUGCGGUACCGGCCCCCGCCAAGGGAACCAUUCCUGCACUGCUGUGUUUAUUUGAGUUAUGUAAUAUAAACAGCUCCAAGGA